This 254-nucleotide ribosomal RNA is filed under the name uncultured bacterium. RNAcentral's name for it is "partial 16S ribosomal RNA". It matches the Rfam family "Bacterial small subunit ribosomal RNA", at positions 524 to 776 of the family's 1533-position model. The record is from RNAcentral.
UACGAAGGGGGCUAGCGUUGCUCGGAAUCACUGGGCGUAAAGCGCACGUAGGCGGCUUUUUAAGUCAGGGGUGAAAUCCCGGAGCUCAACUCCGGAACUGCCUUUGAUACUGGGUAUCUUUGAGUCCGGAAGAGGUGAGUGGAAUUCCGAGUGUAGAGGUGAAAUUCGUAGAUAUUCGGAGGAACACCAGUGGCGAAGGCGGCUCACUGGUCCGGUACUGACGCUGAGGUGCGAAAGCGUGGGGAGCAAACAGG